CCUACGGGAGGCAGCAGUGGGGAAUAUUGGGCAAUGGACGAAACUCUGACCCAGCAACGCCGCGUGAAUGAUGAAGGUCUUCGGAUUGUAAAGUUCUUUUCUAAGGGACGAAGAAAGUGACGGUACCUUAGGAAUAAGCCUCGGCUAACUACGUGCCAGCAGCCGCGGUAAUACGUAGGAGGCGAGCGUUAUCCGGAAUUACUGGGCGUAAAGGGUGCGUAGGUGGGUAAGCAAGUUAGUAGCGUAACUCCAAGGCUCAACCUUGGACCUGCUACUGAAACUGUUUGACUUGAGUGCUGGAGGGGCAGACGGAAUUCCUAGUGUAGCGGUGGAAUGCGUAGAUAUUAGGAGGAACACCAGUGGCGAAGGCGGGUUGCUAGACUGUAACUGACGCUGAGGCACGAAAGCGUGGGGAGCAAACAGGAUUAGAUACCCUAGUAGUC
RNAcentral lists this ribosomal RNA (443 nucleotides) under uncultured bacterium. Its description in RNAcentral is "partial 16S ribosomal RNA". It matches the Rfam family "Bacterial small subunit ribosomal RNA", at positions 338 to 795 of the family's 1533-position model. The record is from RNAcentral.